RNAcentral lists this ribosomal RNA (384 nucleotides) under uncultured prokaryote. RNAcentral describes it as "bacterial SSU rRNA". It matches the Rfam family "Archaeal small subunit ribosomal RNA", at positions 341 to 725 of the family's 1478-position model. The record is from RNAcentral.
GCGAAAACUUUACAAUGCUGGCAAUAGCGAUAAGGGAACCUCGAGUGCCAGGUUACAAAUCUGGCUGUCGAGAUGCCUAAAAAGCAUUUCAUAGCAAGGGCCGGGCAAGACCGGUGCCAGCCGCCGCGGUAAAACCGGCGGCUCGAGUGGUAACCGUUAUUAUUUGGUCUAAAGGGUCUGUAGCCGGCCGGAUAAGUCUCUUGAGAAAUCUGGCAGCUUAACUGUCAGGCUUUCAGGAGAUACUGUCUGGCUCGAGGCCGGGAGAGGUGAGAGGUACUUCAGGGGUAGGGGUGAAAUCUUGUAAUCCUUGAAGGACCACCAGUGGCGAAGGCGUCUCACCAGAACGGACCUGACGGUAAGGGACGAAAGCUAGGGGCACGAACC